CAAAAAAAAAAAAAAAAAGAUAAUGAAAUCCUUCCAUGCCAAUGCCAAUUGGUGAAGAGUGGCUGCUGGGCCGCUCUCCCUCGAGGUCCCCCUCUGUUCUGAUUACCCUGAGUGCCCUGCCAAGACCACCCCAGACCCCAUUUCUUGGGGCAAAUGGGACUCUGGACUCUUCUGCCAGCCCCCCUUCCACACUCCCCUUCCACCAAGGUAGCCCAGGUUUCACCUAUUUUGAUGCUGGGUGUCCAUAUAAGGCAUUGUUUGUAGAAUGUAUUCAGCCACCAAUGGGAUUAGAAAGCUUGAAAGCUGCUGCUCCAGCUUGGCCCUCAGGGCCCUGCAGCUUGCCCAGCCCUCGAGUCUCAGAGAAUGGAGCCCUUGCUGCCCUUUCUGCCUGAGCACUCACAGCUCAUUAAGAAGUGGAAGCACACGUCUGCAAUCACCGUGUAAUUACCUUGCUUCCUAAUUGGCAGCAGACAAGGCCGGCAGGUGUGGCAAACCCCCGGUAAGCUGGCUCCAGUAGGUUGAGGCAGAGGGUGCCUGGACUGCGGGAAGGGAGUGGGCUUCUCUCAGGCCCCAGUUCUGUGCCCCGCCCUGCGCCCAGAGCCCCACACUCAGGAUCUUCACCGAUCUCUUGAGGGGGGUGGUCCUCUCCUCAACUGAGGCCGAGAAGUACGCAUCUGCCCGAGACCCCACCCGUCAGUGGGGUGGCCUAGAUGUGAACCUGGGGCUGCCUCAUGCCCAGACUUGCUGUUCCCGCCCAGGCCGCACAGAGGGAAGGAAAGACGUAGGCAGGGGUUGGAGCCGAGGAGCUCGGGGUACACCUUCGUUGCUGCCUUUGGAGACAGACACCCCAAAACACGACUCAGCACUUUUGCAUCCCCCCCACCCCGCCGUGCAGCAGGGCCAGGCAUGACCCAGCACUUUUGCAUUAUCCCCCCGCAGCCCGUGCAGCAGGGCCAGGCACAGGAAGUCCCAACUGCAGCAGUGGACACCCUGCCAUCAGAAUCUGCUGGGGAGCUUUUCCAGAGUGUGGGUGUCAGUCCCACCCUGGCCUACUGGAUCGGAACCCAAAACCAAAAGCCCUGCCUCAGCGAGCAAGUUCAAAGUCAUUGGCCCAAAGGAAAAACUCCAAGUCCUUUGUUGGUCAUUCAGGGUGGUCAUGAGGGCUGACUGAGGAACAGGCUGUGCACACGCAGCUCAGGACCUUGUGAGAGCAUCAGGCCUGCCAACAACCCCAUGGUACAACAAGAAAAUGGCUGUGCUGGAGCCCUGGACGCCGGAAAUCUGAGAUGAAGGUGCCGGCAGGGCCCUGCCCGCUCUGAAGUCUCUGGGGGAAGCUUCUUUGCCUCUUCCAGCUUCUGGUGGCUCCACGCACUGCUGGGCUCGUGGCUGCCUCCCUCUGGUCUCUGCCCCGGUCUGCACGUGGCCUUCCCUGCGUGUUUCUGUGUCCUUGCUGCUGCUUAGAAGCACAGCAGCCAUUGGAUUAGGACCCACUCUCAUCCAGCAUGGCCUCAUCUUAACUCAUUACGUCUACAAAAUCUCCAUUUCCAAAUAAGGUCCCAUUCUGGGGUCCUGAGUGGACACGGCGGGGACACCAUCAACCCAUCCUAAGGCCUUCUUGGGCAGCCUCAGGGGGAAGCCGGACCAGCCUUAAGUGAAAGUGGAGGGUUCCAAGGAUCCUACAAAGGGGCCCUGACCCAGUCGGUGGGCAGCAGGGGACAGAGUGGACGUGGAACUUGUAGACAGACAGAACGAUGCACAGGACUCACCCCCACCACCAGAGGUCUGUGUGCAGAGACGACAGAGGGCAGCGUCCCUCCCACUGCCCAUCACCCAUGGAGUGUGGAAAAUCCCGGUCAAGACAGCAGCCCGGGCCGUGAAAUCGAAUCUGGGGGUCCCAAGCAUCGGCGUUUGUGCAGCUCUCGGUGGUUCCAAAGUCAGCCAAGAUCUCGGUUCUGGGCCGCCAGGGGCUCUGGAGUCAGACACCUCGUGUCUAAGUCUCCACCAGUUACUGACCGAGCGACCUCAGCAGUACGUUCACCGCUCCGGGUGUCCCUGUCCCCUGUGGAUGGCAUCAUUGCCUCCCUUAUGGAGAUGAGAAGAAUCAAACGGGAACGUUGGCUCCGUGCCUGUCACGAGGGAAGUGCUUGAUAGACGGUGCCCUUCUGCGCCACGUAGAGAGAAAACCGAGGGAGCCUCAUUUAAACUGCAGGCCUGGGAAGGCCUGUGGACUUUCAGGGAAGCUGAGAAGGGGCCCUGGCACCGGUCUGCAUGCCAGCUGGGCAGGGCAGGGUGAGCCUGGUGCAUAUACCUGGGGCCACACAGCAGGGCCUCAUGCUUCUUUUUUGGACCCACUUGACGGAUGGGGAGACUGAGUUCAGAGAGGCCAAGUGGCUUGCCAGGGUCACGCAGCUGAUACACAGCAAAUGGAUUUUAAACCCACCUGACCGCAAUUCCAAGCAUUGUUUUCUUGGGUCAAACCUUGGGAGCUCAAAGGGUGAUCCUGACCUGUGAUGGCUCCAUUUUAUGCAGAAUAUUUUGUUUUGUUUUUUAAUUUGCCUGUUUACUCUAAUGUUCCCAGUCGUUUUCCUCCCAGGGAUCCUCACUCACAAGUGGACUCUGACGGCCUCGGGGGCUCAGAUUUCACAAUCGGCUAAGGCUAACAUAAGGCCUUCCAGGUUACAAGGCUGAAAGUUAUUUUCCAUCAUUCAUUUGUUCACUUUACAUAACAUGCACCUAUUGAGCACCUGCUGUAUACUGGGAACCAAGUUAAACACCAGGUUUGCAGAGGUGGACAAGGCCCUGUUCCUGCCUCCAGGGUCUCCAACCCAUCAGGAGACGCAGGCCCUUUGACAGACACUGGUGAUAAAAUGACAGUGGAGGUCUGUUCAAGAUACAGGCAAGUUGGAUGGGUGGGGUGGGAAUGCCCACUGCCCUUGAGGGUGGGCAGGGGACAGAGGUGUCAUUUACGGUGGGUGUCAAGGAGUUUGGUUCAGAACAAGAGCAAAGGCGUGUGCCCCAGGAUGUGGGACAGCACGUGGGAAGACAAGGUGAGGCAGACUUUGGGGACUAUCAGGGGCUCCAAGUGGUUGGUGUUGGGGGUGUCGAGAAGUGGAGGUGGAGGCCAGGACAGGACAGGGGCUGGGUGAGAGGCUAGUGCAGACAGGCAGAGGGAGGCAUGGCAGGGCAGUGAUGGGAGGAGGAGGGCCGCUGGGGUAAGGUGUAGUCUCAGUAGUUCCGUGGGUCUGGCUGCUUCCCAGGAGCUGACUAGACCCUCAUGGCCAAGUUCAUAGUCCUAUGCAGUCUGACCUUAGCCUACCUGCCCAGCCCAAUCCCUCUGCAGCUGCCACUCACACCUUCCAGCCGAGAACAUCUUCCCAGCUAGGAAACCGUCACACCUGUACACCUUUGCACCUGCUUGUCCCCUCACUCCCUGGGGCAUGCCCACCCGUGCAUCAGUUGAAGCCCAAAUGUGCCAUCAUCUGAGAAACAUUCCCAGUGUCCCCACAAAAAGAGGCUGGUGCCUCCUCUCGGCCACUGCAGCCUGGACAUCUGCCUAUUCAUUCAUGCUGUCGCCACACUGCACUGCCAUGGCUCAUGUAUGUGAGUUUCCUCUUCCCUGCUGUUGAGUGUAGGCUUCUUAAUUAUCUCUAUAUAUCACUAGCCCCUAGGAACAAGGUUCGCCACACAGUAGCUGCUCAGGGCUUUUGAUGAAAGAAGGAAUGAGAUUGCUGGCAAGGUAGGUGGGGGGAUGGUGGGAUGGAUGGAUGGAUGACUGGAUGGAGAGAGGAUGGAAGGAUGGGUGGUGAUAAUGGAUAGUUGGAUGGGGAAGUGGAGGGAUCAUGGAUCUCUGGCUGGGUGGAUAAGUGAAUAGGUGGGUGGAUAGGCAGGUAGGGAGGUGAUGGAUAGGCGAAUAGGUAGAUAGACAGAUGGGGGAGGGGAUCAUUGUGGAUAGAUAGGUAGAGGAGGAAUGGUGAAUACAUAGAUAGGCAGACAAGUGGGUGGGUGGCUGGAUAGGUGGGCAGGUGGGUGGUAGAUGGAUAAAGGAGUGAGUGGGCAAGUUGUACUUUUUGAACCAAUUUACAUCUGGGCAACACAGUAAGAAUAAAGGAUUAUGACCAAGGACAAAAGUUGCUGGGUUAGAUUUCAUGGAGGAGUAGGUGGAUGGAUGAUGGGUGGGAGAGGACAAACGAUAGGCUGGUGGGCUCUGUCAUGAUUCCCCCAAAUGGGGAUGCAGCAAGUCCAGUUCCAGCUGGUUCCAAGGGACGGACUCAGGUAGAUGGGACGGGUGCUGAUCAUAAUCCCAAAGACACAAUCCCGAUGCCGUGAUCCCAAACACUGAAACCCCAAAAGGUCAAAAUCUCCAAAGUCUAAAUCCCCCAAAUCACAAUUCCAAGAGGUUAAAAUCUUGAAUGUUGAAAUCUUGAAAGCCAAAUUCUGAGGAAAGGAUCAGUGCGUUUUCGGUUGUACACGAGAUAGUUGCACCAUGUUCACUGCAUCAAGUUAGGCGAGCUAGUGCCUUGUUAUUGUCUUUAUUUGGAAAUAGCAUGGUUUAAGGAGACGUGUAUGGGUGCCGAGUUGACAAUGGGUGGAUUUGCGGACUUUAUUUCAGGUGUUGACUUGGCUGGAUUAAGGAAUCUGGGCGUGGGCCAGGUACGGUGGCACAUGCCUGUGAUCCCAGCACUUUGAGAGGCUGAAGUGGGCAAAUCACUGGAGUUUAGGAGUUUGAGACCAGCCUAGACAACAUGGUGAAACCCCAUCUCUAAAAAAAAAAAAUUAAAAAAAUUAAAAAAUACAAAAAUUAGCCUGGCAUAAUGGUGCACACCUGUGGUCCCAGCUACUUGGGAGGCUGAGAAGGAAGGAUCAUUUCAGCCCAGGAGGUCAAGGCUGAGGAGGAAGGAUCAUUUGAGCUCAGGAAGUCAAACGCUGCAGUGAGCUGGGAUCGUGCUACUGUCUGGGCAACAGAGUGAGACCCUGUCUCAAAAGAAAAAAAAAAAAAGAAAUUUGGGUGUUUCUGUGAAGGUGCUUCCAGAAGCGGUUGGUGAGUGAGUCUAGAUGGAUUAGGUGGGGAAGCUCUCCCCUCACUGUUGGUGGGCACCAUGUAAUUGGCCAGGGGCCUGAGAGAACAAAGUAAGAAGGCAAAUUGUCUCUUUUUUUGUUUGUUUGUUUGAGACGGAGUCUCGCUCUUUUGCCCAGGCUGGAGUGCAGUGGCAUGAUCUUGGCUGUCUGUGACCUCCGCCUCCCAGGUUCAAGCGAUUCUCCUGCCUCAGCCUCCUGAGUAGCUGGGAUUACAGGUGCCCGCCACCAUGCCCAGCUAAUUUUUGCAUUUUUUUUUUCAGUAGAAAUGGGAUUUUGCCCUGUUAACCAGACUGGUCUUGAACUCCUGACCUCAAGUGAUCCUCCCGCCUCAACCUCCCAAAGUGCUGGGAUUACAGGCCUGAACCACUGUGCCUGGCCCGAAUUGGUCUCUUUCUGAGAGCUGGGACUUCUCCUCUGCUGCCUUGGACAUUAGAAAUUUGACUCCAUGGAGCUGCAUUACCAUAUGCUGACUGUGUGUGUAAGCAUUGGACAUGUAUGGAAAAACAUCGAAACUUCCUCAGUAAACGAACAGGUGCACUUUAUGUAUGACUGUACGUGUGAAAGGUAAAAUUUCUUCAGAGCUCGGCUUUUUGGGUGACUGCCUAGGCUGUCAUGACCCAUCAUGGUUUUUAAAAUUUUUCUUUUUAUUUUUUUGAGACAGAGUCUUACUCUGUCAUCCAGGCUGGAGUGCGAUGGCGUGAUCUCGCUCACUGCAACCUCUGCCUCCUGGGUUCAAGCGAAUCUCCUGCCUCAGCCUCACGAGAAGCUGAGAUUACAGGUGCCCGCCACCACGCCCAGCUAAUUUUUGUAUUUUAAUAGAGAUGGGGUUUCACCAUGUUGGUCAGGCUGGUCUCGAACUCCUGACCUCAAAUGGUCUGCUUGCCUCGGCCUCCCAACGUGCUGGGAUUACAGGUGUGUGUGUGAGCCACUGCGCCCAGCCCCAUCAUGGUUUUUGAUAGAUCUUGUGAAAGACUUAGGUUGUCCGUCAGGGUAUUUCAGAUGACCGCAGUUAUAAAGCUGAGUGCAUACAAUUACCAGCCAUGCUUAAUUACCAGCCACAGUGAUGUGUGCUUAUACCUUUCACUUUUUUGUCUGCUCAUAACUGUCAUACCCUCAUGAUUGCUGCUAGCAUACCUGUUUAUGCUUGCAAAUAUAUGUAUGUCAUUUUUGCCUAUUUCAUUGUAUAAAAUGGCCUAUGAAGUGUUCUGUCAUGUUUUUAUGUUUCUCAUGUAAAUCUCCUGUUAAAAAUGUAAAUACAUUUUUUAAAUAACUUUGAAAAAUUAUU
This 6361-nucleotide long non-coding RNA is filed under the name Homo sapiens (human). Its description in RNAcentral is "HSALNT0144935". The record is from RNAcentral. Lineage: Eukaryota; Metazoa; Chordata; Mammalia; Primates; Hominidae.